UAGUAUCUCUAGCAUUUUUUUAUUGUUGAGGAUGUUCCUGUUUUUAAAGAUGCUAACAAUGCCAGUCUUUUCCUUUUUUUUUUUUUUUUUUUUUUUUUUUUAAUUUAACGGGAACUUAAAAAGGUAAAUUAUGAUAUGAGUGAAGCAAAAGGCAAGCUCUACCUCAGGAUGGAAAAAAGGGAUUUCAACGUUUCAGCAAAGCUAACUUUGACUGGAAGCAGCUACACUAAUGCCAUUGAAGUGGCACAGACCAUGGCCCAGUUAAAAAUUCUUCCAAGGCAGCUUGUGUUUAUGACAAUUUACCAAAAAGGCAACAGAACUCAUCUGCUGAGGCACAUUGCCCUGUGGGAUGGCAAAGAGAUAAAGCUAACAGGCACUUACACUGGACUCUUCCCAAAGCUGUCUGGAGGCCAUGGCAUUCAGGUGGAACUUCUCCAUCCUCUCUCCAUCCCUUUUCCACGGCAUGUCUGGGCCAACUUAUAUGUGAAACAUUCAGCACGCAGUCACCAGGAUGUCCUUACUGUCAUUUGGAACGAGAAGGACAAGAUAUCAGUGUCAUCUUCUCUGAAGAUUGGAAGGCACCGGACAAGCUACAGAGCCACUGUUGCCCACCCAUUUAAUUACACUCUGAAGGAACUGGAGGUGCAUUCCCUGUCAGAAAGAAGGGGCAGAAAGUACAACCAGCAGCUGCAGGUCUCAGGGAAUGCUGGGCAGCCUGCUCACCUCCAGCUGGGGCUGGAGGAUAAAUCCAAGAUGGACAUCACUGCCUGGGGUGGCUGUGUGACACUCUCUGCAGGCCA
Molecule: long non-coding RNA, 800 nt
Filed under: Serinus canaria (Common canary)
Lineage: Eukaryota; Metazoa; Chordata; Aves; Passeriformes; Fringillidae
Description: lncRNA (ENSSCAG00000011664.1)
Source: RNAcentral